GACGAACGCUGGCGGCGUGCUUAACACAUGCAAGUCGAACGGAAAGGCCCUGCUUUUGUGGGGUGCUCGAGUGGCGAACGGGUGAGUAACACGUGAGUAACCUGCCCUUGACUUUGGGAUAACUUCAGGAAACUGGGGCUAAUACCGGAUAGGAGCUCCUGCUGCAUGGUGGGGGUUGGAAAGUUUCGGCGGUUGGGGAUGGACUCGCGGCUUAUCAGCUUGUUGGUGGGGUAGUGGCUUACCAAGGCUUUGACGGGUAGCCGGCCUGAGAGGGUGACCGGCGACAUUGGGACUGAGAGACGGCCCAGACUACUACGGGAGGCAGCAGUGGGGAAUAUUGCAAAAUGGGCGGAAGCCUGAUGCAGAAACGGCGCGUGCGGGAUGACGGCCUUCGGGUUGUAAACCGCUUGCGCCUGUGACGAAGAGUGAGUGACGGUAAUGGGUAAAGAAGCACCGGCUAACUACGUG
RNAcentral lists this ribosomal RNA (468 nucleotides) under uncultured bacterium. RNAcentral's name for it is "partial 16S ribosomal RNA". It matches the Rfam family "Bacterial small subunit ribosomal RNA", at positions 28 to 507 of the family's 1533-position model. The record is from RNAcentral.